ACGUCGUCUUUUGAUUCCAACGUUUCUCUUGUGUUAUAAAUUGUAAAAUGUCUGGGAACGUUUUAACCAUUGUAUCAAAGUUCUGCAAUGAGUAUGCAGAGACUACGUCGAAGAGAUUAAAACUGAUAGAUGCAUAUCUGAUGUACGUAAUGCUCACCGGCAUUAUUCAGUUCGUGUAUUGUUGCUGGGUUGGCACGUUUCCCUUCAAUUCUUUCCUAUCAGGAUUCAUUUCAUGUGUUGCUUCAUUCGUAUUAGCAGUAUGUUUGAGAGUACAAGUCAACCCACAGAAUAAAAAGGAAUUUCAAGGAAUCAGCCCAGAGAGAGCAUUUGCAGACUUCACCUUCGCUCACGUAGUAUUGCACCUUGUCGUGAUGAAUUUCAUUGGAUGAACUAUUAGUAGAUACAUGAAUUAUUCUCAAUUUCAUUCUAUGGAACCUCGUGAAUGGAAAAACAACAGAACAGAACAGCAGCCAGAACAUUUCUUUUUUCAUCCAGACUUGGGAUUCACCAAAUAUCAAAACAAUGGAACUAGAGUGUCUAUGACUGUAGCAAUAGGAUUGUGAUUCCUACUACUUUAGAAUCAGUGUUGCAGUUGGAUAAUAUAUGCUUAAGAUUGUAAAUUUCUAUAAAGCAUUCCAGGAUAUAAAUAAAAAAUAUUUCCUGUAGCAUUGAUGGAUUUAAUAAGAAACACACUUUUAUAUCAUGACAAUAAAUAAAUCUGUGCAUGUAUAUUGUGUAA
Molecule: long non-coding RNA, 739 nt
Organism: Priapulus caudatus
Lineage: Eukaryota; Metazoa; Priapulida; Priapulimorpha; Priapulimorphida; Priapulidae
Exons: 3
Source: RefSeq, a predicted model, not a curated record